UCUGUGCACCACAUUCACGGUCAAUUAGCGUCAUUACAACAACAGAGGAUAUCUAUGGGACAGAUAAUUAUGUCUCAAAUAGAGGAAACGUUGAUCAGUAAAGGUUCCUAUUGUGAUAAAGGUUUAGCAAUAAACAACUCCAUUCAAUGUGGUGACAAUGCGGUGGAAUGAGAUAAAUAGCUUUACAUGCCAUGAAUAGUUGUAGCUUACAGUGUUGCACGCCUCCGACAAGUGCCCCACGAGUGCCUUCAGCAGAACCUCUAUUAUAACUUCAAGCUCGCAUGCUUCCAUCAAUAGUUAUUUGUGUUAUUACCACAAGUGAGCAAACUUGUUGUUUGCUGCGAGUAGGUACAGAUGUUGAAUCACGAUCAAUCGAAGGGUUCUGUUGAAUCACUAGCAUAGCGAGUGAUUCCAGAGUGGAAUCUUGAGCGAGCUGCGAAGUGCGAGUCGAGGGAAGACAUAGGUACGCAUAACUUUCACUUCAGUGGUUCAAACAAUGUAGGUUUUACUGUUUAAAAACAGUGAGCAAAAUUUAUUUUUAGCUAUUCACUCAGUAAUGAGGCAAAGUUUGUAUUUAAACUUCCUUGUGGAAAAUAACAAAAUAUUAAUAAUUAACUAAUAACAACCCACCACAGAUAGCUAGCUAGGUACUCUUUGCCCUGCUCUGACGUCAUGGUAGCACGCUGCAGCAUAGAUAUUAUUAUCGUGCUGCAGCUGAAGUAAGUAUUUACCUCUUUUUCAAAACGGACUUCCUAGAACUGGGGCCCGAUUCUCCUAAGUUAAUGAUGUCAAAAUCGAAUCGCAAUAUGAUCGCAAUAGCAGUUUUAACCAUAUCGGGCAUUCUGCUAAUAUAAGACCAGUCGUAUUCCAACGACAUUCGAUUGGUUUGCGAUUGGUCUGCUAUUUUGGUGAUUUUGGUCUAUACGGUAGUUUGCUCUACAAUCAUAUUGCAAUCGUAAAUCAUUUGCAGACAAAAUUAUUCAUUAUUGAAUGAUAGAAAAGGAUAAAAACGUUUAUUUCAAAGAAAAAACAGCGGAAUGCCACAUACGCUUCAAUCAUAAUCGAGUCGGGACUGGAUCGCAGUCGAAUGUGAAUCGUAUGUUGCUUAAGUAAAAUUAGGAGAAUCGGGCCCCAGUUAGCCAUUAAACAUAAUGUUCAAGAUAAAGAAUGUCAAAUGUGAAUAAAUCUACAUAGUUUCUUCGAAAUUGUAUUUGAAUUGACACAAACAAAUAAACACUUGCCUAAAUAAAUACAGUACUUAGUAUUUAUUUACAGCGAAGUAAGUAGGGAAUGUAAUAUUUUUAAACAAUGUGAUAAAAGCAACCUUUUACACUAUAGCUAUGUAUAUACGUAUAGGUACACAAUGUGGUAUGGGUAAUUAGCUAGGUAUCAAUCGAUGUGUCAUCAUCACGACCGAGUCACUCACUAACGCUGAACAAAACAUUACACAUUGUAUGUACUUACUUAAAUAGAAGCAUUUGUCACAUUUACCCGAAACUAAUGCAAAGUAUAUCAAUAAACUGUAAAUAUAGUUAGUUCAUUGUUUGACAAUAAUUAAAUUCAUUGUGAUGUCGGUCACUUGGGUCACGGUGUCACUAAGAAAAUGCGUCAUACUGAAACACUGUUACUGGUACAAUAAAAUCUAAUUAGGUAUUCUGACUGAAACAAUGGACACAUAAUAAGAUUAAGCAAAACACGUGAAUGCGACUUCGGCAGGCAUAUUUUUUUUUUCACGAUCUUCUUAGAUGUAA
Molecule: long non-coding RNA, 1751 nt
Organism: Helicoverpa armigera (cotton bollworm)
Lineage: Eukaryota; Metazoa; Arthropoda; Insecta; Lepidoptera; Noctuidae
Exons: 2
Source: RefSeq, a predicted model, not a curated record